UUUAAAAAUAUUUUAUUUAUUCAUAAAAAUAUCAAAAAAUAUUUUCCACAUUUCUUAAUGUUUUAUUUAAUUUUAUUUAAUAUUUAUUUUUAUAUUUAUUUAAUGUUAAUAUUUUAUUUCAAUUAUUUAUUUCAAGUAGAUCAUUUUAACACACAUUUAUUUCUUGAUUUUAUUUUCAUGACUUAGAAUUAUUUUUAACUUUUGAUUUUUGGGAUGAAGGUUGACCAAUGUCUC
This 234-nucleotide long non-coding RNA is filed under the name Lathyrus oleraceus (garden pea). RNAcentral describes it as "Pisum sativum (pea) long non-coding RNA (PSAT_LNC021259)". The record is from RNAcentral. Lineage: Eukaryota; Viridiplantae; Streptophyta; Magnoliopsida; Fabales; Fabaceae.